AUGCUUGUGACAAUGAUAACAUUCCACCCUUGCCUGGUUAAAUUGUGUUCAUUGAUUGUAAGAUUGGCGUCAUCUACCUCUACCCCUUCCUUGAAAUCCUCCACGUCCUCAUCCUUGAAAAAUAUUUCCUUCAUGAGCAGUGACUUUCAAGGCUUGCUCCUCCACAAUAUGGUUGGUCAUCCUCUGUUCAUGAACUAAGAGUGAGCUUUGCAACACAUCAAUCGAAAGACAAUCUAUGUCAUUCGAUUCUUCAAUAGAAC
This 260-nucleotide long non-coding RNA is filed under the name Lupinus angustifolius (narrow-leaved blue lupine). RNAcentral's name for it is "long non-coding RNA (LANG_LNC000466)". Lineage: Eukaryota; Viridiplantae; Streptophyta; Magnoliopsida; Fabales; Fabaceae. The record is from RNAcentral.